UACGUAGGGUGCAAGCGUUGUCCGGAAUUAUUGGGCGUAAAGAGCUCGUAGGCGGUCCGGUAAGUCCGCUGUGAAAGUCGGGGGCUCAACCCUCGGAUGCCGGUGGAUACUGUCGGGCUUGAGUACGGAAGAGGCGAGUGGAAUUCCUGGUGUAGCGGUGAAAUGCGCAGAUAUCAGGAGGAACACCAAUUGCGAAGGCAGCUCGCUGGGACGUUACUGACGCUGAGACGCGAAAGCGUGGGGAGCAAACAGG
Molecule: ribosomal RNA, 253 nt
Filed under: uncultured bacterium
Lineage: Bacteria
Description: partial 16S ribosomal RNA
Rfam family: Bacterial small subunit ribosomal RNA
Source: RNAcentral